RNAcentral lists this ribosomal RNA (342 nucleotides) under Triticum aestivum (bread wheat). RNAcentral's name for it is "partial small subunit ribosomal RNA". Lineage: Eukaryota; Viridiplantae; Streptophyta; Magnoliopsida; Poales; Poaceae. The record is from RNAcentral.
AUGUUCCAUUCUGUCCCACCAGCUCAAGCCGUGAUGCUCAAGCUAGUUCUGCACUUCUGGAGUGACGAAGAUUGCAUCAAUAUCCUAGCUCAAUGCAAGAAGGCCAUUCCUUCCCGAGAAGUGGGAGGAAAAGUGAUCGUCGUCAUAGACAUAGUACUUGGAUCUUCUCCGGAGACAAUGUCCGAAACAGAAUUGCUAAUGGAUAUGCUCAUGUUCUUAUGUACGAGAGGACGGCAACGGAAUGAAAAUGAGUGGAGCAUGAUCUUUAUGAAAGCAGGGUUUAGCGAUUAUAAGAUUGUCAAGAAACUUGGAGCUCGAGGUGUCAUUGAGGUCUAUCCGUAA